Molecule: long non-coding RNA, 910 nt
Filed under: Triticum aestivum (bread wheat)
Lineage: Eukaryota; Viridiplantae; Streptophyta; Magnoliopsida; Poales; Poaceae
Description: long non-coding RNA (TAES_LNC014809)
Source: RNAcentral
UGAUGCACAACCGAAGAAAAAGUAUAUUCGCAUAAUCACUUAAAAAUUCCCAUACACUACAUAGAGAGUACAAUUUUUAUGGUUAAUAUUGAUCUUAUAACAUGUUCUAUUACAAAGAUGCAAACUGCACUACUAAUUUCAAAAUUUUCCACCAGCACUUUUGGAAUGUGAGUUGCUAAUUAAUGACAAGCGCAAUGGCCUUCUAGGAAACUAAAUGUACAUGCUACAUCAGGUAAAUUUUCCAAAUACAGGUGGCCAACAUAAUAUAUUCAAUAUGAAACUUCAGGUGCUGCAAUGUAAUGUACUCAGUCUGAAACUUCAGCUACUGCAAAGGAUUGUGCUUCAUUUGUUCAUGAAGGAAAUUUGGGUUCCAAGACAUGUCCUCUUCUCCUCUCUAAAGAAAUAAUUACUGUGGUGCAUUAAGUAAAUACAGUCCGGAGGAAGGAGACGAGAAGAAGGGGAGAGAAGAUAAAUUCUUACAAUUGUCCAUGGCGUCGGAGCAGCAGCGUCCUAGGAAGGGAAGAAGCAAGCACACAGAGCACCUACACGCGCGUGAGGAAACCACAUCAGGGAGGCGAGCGGCCAAAACAAGACUAACCAACAGUCCGGGGGAGAUAGGGGCGGGGAGGAGACCUUCCAUGGCGGCUGUAGGUGCAUGGUUGUGGAGAUGGAGGCUGAUGCGGAUCUGGCACUGGGAGCGGAGGAGCUCGAUGUCGACGGCGCUAGACAAUCUGGGUGUGCCAUGGUUGCCGCCUGGCCUGCUUCGGUCGCGGUGGAUCUCCCUCCCUCUUCUCCUCCCAUGCCUUCUGUUAAGGCGUCACCUUGGGGUUGGAACAUGGGAAAGCAGCACAUGCUAGAAGGAGGCUUUGGGAGGCGCAGCUGGUGGUGGGAGAUGCGGCAACAACGUGAG